CGGACGGGUGAGUAACGCGUGGGUAGCCUGCCUUGUACUGGGGGACAACAGUUAGAAAUGACUGCUAAUACCGCAUAAGCGCACAGUAUCGCAUGAUACGGUGUGAAAAACUCCGGUGGUACAAGAUGGACCCGCGUCUGAUUAGCUAGUUGGUAAGGUAACGGCUUACCAAGGCGACGAUCAGUAGCCGACCUGAGAGGGUGACCGGCCACAUUGGGACUGAGACACGGCCCAA
This 235-nucleotide ribosomal RNA is filed under the name uncultured bacterium. RNAcentral's name for it is "partial 16S ribosomal RNA". It matches the Rfam family "Bacterial small subunit ribosomal RNA", at positions 99 to 334 of the family's 1533-position model. The record is from RNAcentral.